GCAGGGAUGGCGGAGCGGUUUAACGCACCAGCCUUGAGAGCUGGCGUCCGAAAGGACUCGGGAGUUCGAAUCUCCCUCCCUGCG
Molecule: transfer RNA, 84 nt
Filed under: archaeon
Lineage: Archaea
Also listed under: 1 other name
Description: tRNA-Ser
Rfam family: tRNA
About the family: Transfer RNA (tRNA) molecules are approximately 80 nucleotides in length. Their secondary structure includes four short double-helical elements and three loops (D, anti-codon, and T loops).
Source: RNAcentral